RNAcentral lists this long non-coding RNA (2190 nucleotides) under Nicotiana tabacum (common tobacco). RNAcentral's name for it is "long non-coding RNA (NTAB_LNC007956)". The record is from RNAcentral. Lineage: Eukaryota; Viridiplantae; Streptophyta; Magnoliopsida; Solanales; Solanaceae.
UUUUGUUCUAAUUUCCUAAUGACAAUUCAACCAAGCUCCACUCAUUCCUUGGCUUGUUUAUGUUAAAGAGGAAGUAGGAAUUUGUUUUUAUGUGAAGUACCAUAUGAUCGAUCCUGUAGGUAGCCGUUUGACAUAAAGGGAUAAACCAGAAUUUGUUGGUCAUUCUCGCAGCAGUAGCCAAGAAGAGGGACCAUGUUUUCAUGCGUAAUAGCUGAGAGAAGGGUCAACUGUAAUACAAAUUGAUACUACAAGGUUAGUUUGCAAGCUGUGUUAUUUGUUACGCAUGGCUUAACUACAUAUACGUGGAUAAGAUGCACUUAUUGUAGAAGAUGGCAACUGGAGGGUGCAAGCCAAAUCAGGAGGAUAUAACAUAUUGAAAAUGAAGUUUCCUAGAUUGAGUGUGAACUGACUUUACUAUAAUUCCAAUUCUGUGCUUCAAUAGAGGGGAGUGUGGUACAAUCUUUCUUAAGAAUAUCAUACGGAUUUUUCUCUACUCCAGGUAUGUUAAGGCUAAUUCUUCUUUCUUUUGGCAUAAUCCAAGUAACGAUACAUAUACGUAAUGUUAUUCCAUAAGUGGUUCUACUCAUAGCGGUUAAAGAUGUUUAUGUUAUUCAUUACUCGUAGCGGUUAAGGAUGUUUAUGUUAUUCAUUCCGGUAAAGUAGCAUUAAUCAAAGGCAUAAUGGUCUUAGUUUGAAAAUUAAGAAUAUUUUGAUGAAGAACGCUUUACCUCCUCUUACUAGGACACUUAAACUAAAUUGGAAUUAGUCGGCACAACAAGUAGGAGUAUAUGAUUUCAAAUACGGAAUAUGUAAAAUAGACAUCAAAUUGUAACCCUCUAGAGCUUCUAAAUCUGUCUUGUUCCCUUUCCAGACAACCGUCAAUUGAAAAUAACUAUAACUUUUAGUAAAAUUUAUAUAUAUAUAUAUAUAUAUACACACACACAUACUUGGCAGCUAUUAUCUUGGAGAGCAUUUAUACAAUAUAGACAUGACGUUCCGAAAGAUCUUAUUGACGUACUUCUCAUGCGUUUGCAUUCAUUUACAUGUGCAUUUACCUAUGACUCAGACGGCGUUAUAUACGCGUAUAUAUGUAUAUGGGAUAUUGAAAAAGGUUAUGGCGUUAUAUACGCAUCGCCACCUGAUCAACUGGUAUACGUUGAUGAUUUGUCCACAAUGUCCGAGAUGAUAUGAUGGGAUGCCCUCAGAGGCUUGAUGAUGUUAUGAACACAUGUAUGUACGGCAUGACAUACAUACGCAUAUGCAUGAUACUAUGAGUAUUUCAUUAUUUACAGAGUUAUUCCAGUUCUAAAAAAAUAAAAUUUGUUCUCAGGCAGGUUCUUUUAUUCCUAUGGUUUGCCAGUUGAUGUGAUUUCAGAUAUAUGAAUUUUCUUGUUGCAAGAUAACAAAAAAUACAUGGCUGAUAAAGAGAAGAAAUUUACAUGUGCAUUAUAGUAUUGGUAAUUUUUUUUAAAGAAAAGGGAAGUAGUAAUUGUUGAAUAGUAGGUAGAGGAGAUAUAACUUCCAAAAGUUCAAGGAUUGAUUUUAAAAUUUCAGUCUUAUCGUUUAUGGGAUAAGGCCUUUAAUAAAUCACUAUGUUAACAUUGCAGACCGAAUCAAUAAUUUAGGUCUUACGUGUUAGCCAAAAUCAUUUGAAGCUUUAUUCUGCUGUCAAUAGUUCCAUUUCUAAUAUUCUAGAUUAUUUUGCAUAGGCCUGAAUUUUCGUCACAAUAUGUCUUUAGUUAAUGUUGAAUUAUGAUUUUGUUUCAGUUCUGCCUUACAUACUCGGUACAUUAUUCGUACUGACGUCCUUUUGUUGGGGACGUUGCAUUUAUGAUUGCAGGUAUAGAUAAUCAGUUUGACGAGCCCUUAUAGUAGACGAGAUUGGUAUUCAACGAAGGAUCGAUAAAACUCCACCUCAUUCGGAGUGCAGCCGAGUCUAUGAGUCAUCGUGUCAGAAUUUUGCUAGAGACUUAUGGGUAGGCCGGUACCCUGUCCCAUUUUAUGCCAAAUAAUCUUAGAGGCUUUGUAGACAGAGGUUCAUUUUGUACAGUAUGUUAGAGGCCUUGACGGCCCAUAUGUAUUCAUGUUGUAAGAAAAAUGGUUUAGUGAUAUAAUGUUUUCCAACUUAUAAUUGUAUAUUACAGGUUGUGGCCAUGUUGGCCCAUGAUAGCUACGAAAGGAAUGAAUGAG